UGAGCAUUUAAGGGCAAUGACCUCUCUUCAUGAUGUGUCGUUCAAACCUGUAUGAUGUCACAAUACUAAUGAAAGAGGAAGGGCACCUCCUACUCAGGAGUUCAGUGCAACCCGAGUUACACCCAUGGAUGAAGUCACUGAAGUUGAUCCAGCUUCAUAGAACCUCAGAGAAUAGAUCUGAUUCAUCUUUCACAUACUUCUCCAAAUUUGAAGUUAGCCAUCAUGUCGAUUUGAAAUCCAUUUUCUCUUGUCCAGUAUCGCUUCGCUAUAGAAAUCUGGAUCACUUGCUACAAUUCGUGCUAUGAGGCGUCUCAUCUCAGGGGCACAAGCUGGAUUCAA
Eptesicus fuscus (big brown bat) is the source of this 339-nucleotide long non-coding RNA. RefSeq lists it as uncharacterized. The record is from RefSeq and is a predicted model, not a curated record. The transcript has 3 exons. Lineage: Eukaryota; Metazoa; Chordata; Mammalia; Chiroptera; Vespertilionidae.